UCCUGGCCUGUGUGGAGCUCAGGCUAGGAAUUUCACGGGUGAGGCCACUGGUUUCCAGGAUCCAGGCCAUUUUCUGGUGCAGGAGCUGGAAGUGGUAUAGCCAGGUCUGGAUGCCUUCAACAGGGAGACAGAU
Long non-coding RNA from Pipistrellus kuhlii (Kuhl's pipistrelle), 133 nucleotides. RefSeq lists it as uncharacterized. The record is from RefSeq and is a predicted model, not a curated record. Lineage: Eukaryota; Metazoa; Chordata; Mammalia; Chiroptera; Vespertilionidae. The transcript is spliced from 4 exons.